CCGUUGCCAUGGCAGUGACGUCAGGCGUCGGCGAGCGAACCCAGCCCCUUCCCCACGCGCGCGCGCGCACAUACAGAGCUACAUGCACCCGCGCGUGCACCGCCGCUCUCCCUCAGACACACUGGAGGGAAAGGUCAAACUAAAGGCGAGGGAGCCGGGAGGCCAGAGGGAGCCGACGCCGCUGCCGCCGCCGCCGCCGCCGCCGCCGCGCGCCAUGACGGACGGGGCUGAGGCCGCUUUCUCUCCGCCGCCGCCGCCGCUGCCGAGCCGCGGCUCUCGUCGCGCCCCCUACCCCCGCCUCCCGCGCCCCCUCCCCCCCGGUGCUCGCGCGUCCACGCGCCCCCUCCCCCUCGGCGCUUCAGGCGCGCGUCGGGCCCGGGGCGCGCGCCGGCCCGAGCGGGCGCGGGAGGGUGGGGGCCGCGGCUGGCUGGCGGCCUCCUGGCGCGACCCCAGACCCCCUCGCCUGGCCCCUCGGCUAGAGCCCACCAGGCUCGGACCUCCGAAGGCAGAUCUCUGAACCUCACGGUAGGGUUCUUUAGCAGCCAGAAGAUGAAGAAUGCGUGACUCUGACCCUCCCAACACCCCAGGGUGGGAUCGCUCUUCGCCCCAUUUUCCAGGUGAGGAAACCAAGGCUCUGAGACGGCUGUGGUUGUGUAGCUAACCGUAACCACGACGGCUAACCAGUGGCAGACUCAGGUCUCCCAACUCCAAAUCCCGGGUGUUUUUCCUUGUGAUUACGGCCAACUAGAAUUUUUAUUUCCAUUAGUUACCACCAUGCUGCCCCAACAUACACACCUACACACACCAUUGACUCCCAAUCUCUACAUACUUGGUACCUUUUUAUUUUUAAUUAAUUAAUUAAUUUAUUUAUUUAUUUUAGGGCUGCACCUGUGGCAUAUGCACGUUCCCAGGCUAGGGGUCAAAUCAGAGCUGCAGCUGCAGGCCUACACCACAGCCACAGCAGUGCCAGGUCUGAGCCGAGUCUUCGGCCUACACUGCAGCUCACAGCAGUGCUGGACCCUCAGUUCACUGAUUGAGUGCUGGACCCUCAGUCCACCCUCAGUCCACUGAUUCCAAGGGUCGAACCCACAUGCUCAUGGGUCCUAGUUGAUUGAGUUCCUUACAACCAGUAACAGGAGUGUUAAUAGAUACUUAAAAGUUGCAAACCCCCCAGGGUCUAUGGAGUUGUCUAUUCUAAGGCCAUUCAGAAUGGCCCCAGAUGGAUUUCACAGUAUAAAAGAAAGGCAAGGAGGAGUUCCCACUGUGGCAUAACGGGAUUGGUGUUGUCUUGGGAGCGCUGGGACACAGGUUUGAUCCUGGCACAGUGGGUUAAGGAACCAGCAUUGCCACACCUGCGGGGUAGCUCAUAACUGAUGCUCGUAUCUGAUCCCUGGCCUGGGAACUCCGUGAGCCUCGGGGCGGCCAAAAAAGAAAAAAAAUAAAAGGAAGGCAAGGUGAGUGGCUUUAGCCCCC
RNAcentral lists this long non-coding RNA (1473 nucleotides) under Sus scrofa (pig). RNAcentral's name for it is "lncRNA (ENSSSCG00055026440.1)". The record is from RNAcentral. Lineage: Eukaryota; Metazoa; Chordata; Mammalia; Artiodactyla; Suidae.